GGUUAAGUGACUAAGCGUACACGGUGGAUGCCUAGGCAGUCAGAGGCGAUGAAGGGCGUGCUAAUCUGCGAUAAGCGUCGGUAAGGUGAUAUGAACCGUUAUAACCGGCGAUACCCGAAUGGGGAAACCCAGUGCAAUUCGUUGCACUAUCAUACGAUGAAUACAUAGUCGUAUGAGGCGAACCGGGGGAACUGAAACAUCUAAGUACCCCGAGGAAAAGAAAUCAACCGAGAUUCCCCCAGUAGCGGCGAGCGAACGGGGAGGAGCC
This 268-nucleotide ribosomal RNA is filed under the name Limnobaculum eriocheiris. RNAcentral describes it as "partial 23S ribosomal RNA". It matches the Rfam family "Bacterial large subunit ribosomal RNA", at positions 1 to 269 of the family's 2925-position model. Lineage: Bacteria; Pseudomonadati; Pseudomonadota; Gammaproteobacteria; Enterobacterales; Budviciaceae. The record is from RNAcentral.